GUUGAACCCUGCACAGCAGAACGACCCGCGAACCUGUAAAAUACAACUCGGGGGGCGAGGGGCAACCCGGACCCCCCUUGGCUGGGGAGCACUAACUCGGUCCUCGCUCGUCGAUGCCCGCUGUUUGUUGCCUUCCCCGCCGCAAACGAACCCCGGCGCAAACCGCGCCAAGGAACCCGAACGAAUCAAAGCGCGCCCCGACGCCCCAGAGAUGGUGUGCGUUUGGGUGCUGCGCCGUAUUCUAUAUGUCAAAACGACUCUCGGCAACGGAUAUCUCGGCUCUCGCAUCGAUGAAGAACGUAGCGAAAUGCGAUACUUGGUGUGAAUUGCAGAAUCCCGUGAACCAUCGAGUCUUUGAACGCAAGUUGCGCCCGAAGCCAAUAGGYCGAGGGCACGUCUGCCUGGGCGUCACACAACGUUGCCCCCCAACCACAAACCCCGACCCCGGGGAGGGCUGGGGGGCGGAUGCUGGCCUCCCGUGAACCAUGGCUCGCGGCUGGCCCAAAUGCGAGCACCCGGAGACUAGCGCCGCGGCGAUCGGUGGUUGUCCAACCCUCGGUGCCACGCUGCGCGCGCAAGUCUCCCGUCCCCGCUCCUAUGGCCCAAYGCGUCGCGCACGCGGCGUUCACAACGCGACCCC
RNAcentral lists this ribosomal RNA (640 nucleotides) under Reynosia septentrionalis. RNAcentral describes it as "eukaryotic LSU rRNA". The stretch from base 256 to 411 matches the Rfam family "5.8S ribosomal RNA". The record is from RNAcentral. Lineage: Eukaryota; Viridiplantae; Streptophyta; Magnoliopsida; Rosales; Rhamnaceae.